GGGCGCCGAUGGGGGAGAUGGAGGGGAGGCGUGCCGCUGCUGCUCGUGCGGAGGAAGUAGGGGUGCUGCUGCUGUGGGAGGAAGGAGGAAGGAGGAAGAAGGAAGCUGCGCUGCUGUUACUCGUGUUGAGGAAGAAGGUAGUUAUAAGAUAGUGUUAAAAUAUGUUACACAAUCUAUAUAUAGACAAGCUGAUGGAAAACUAGAAGAUGUUUUGAAGGAAUCUUUUUAGGUCUAUAUGAAGAUAUAGACAAUCACAUAUAGACAAGCUGCUGAGGAUGCUCUUACAAUGAACAAAUCGACAAGAAGUAAAAUUAAUCACAGCAUUGGCCCUGAUUUCUCUAAACAUCGCGCCAUCUGGCCCCAAAUCAUGAUCUGAUCCAUUAAGUGCCUGAACGAGCAGAAGGACAUCUGCUUACAUUUGUCAUUCCCCACAUCUGGGCUGCCUCCAAUGCCUUGAUACAAGCGGUCUCUUCAGCUUGUAGAGGAUCCAUAACAUGAUUAAUCUUCCCAGCUUUGGAACCAACAACAUCCCCCUUGGUGAUCUCUAAUAAUAAAGCCCCAUCCGCCCGACCUUGUCCCAGCAUCGAAGCUGCCAUCAAUAUUGAUGUUGAGACAAGUCUCGUCAGGUAAAGAACAGGAUGUUGGUGGAGGUUGGGCCAGCUUCUCUUGUUUCAAGAAGAAUUUUUCAUACUCAAUAGCAGAACGCCAGAUUCGGAAGCAGACAUCAUCUAGGUUGUAGACCCCCUCACCAGCAUUAAUCUUAUUACGGACAUUCCACCGUGUCCAAAGCAUUGCUAUGCACAAUAUCUUUUGCUUUGUGGGCCGAGAGAAGAUAUGUUCCAGCAUCGCUUUUGGGCCAUUACAUCUAGUCAAUAAGGCAUGUUCAGGUUCCAUAUCCGGUGUCCGCCAAACAUUUCGUACAAAUUUGCAGUGAAGGAAUAGAUGACCCCCAUCUUCGUUCAGUCUGCGACAUACCGGGCAGCAGGUUUCACAGUCCACUCCUCGCCUUCGAAUGCUCAUCCGAAGAGGUAAACUAUUGUGUGCAAAUCUCCAUAAGAACUGCUUAAUCUUUGCCGGGCAAGGCGCUGACCAGAUAUAGUUCCAAUUAAAAUCUUGGUCACGACCGUCACGGUGAGAUCCUUCAGCAAUAUUAAUACGUUCAAAUUUCCGAGCCAGACGAUACGCCAAUUUCACUGUAAAUAUCCAUUUUACCUCAUGAUGCCAUACCCAAGUAUCUUCCAUAUCGGAAAAAAAUUACCUGUGAUAUCAGAAAAAAAGUACCUGUGAUAGUCCACCAAAAAGACACAAACGUAGGAACAAAAUAGAUCUCGAAAAAAAAGAACAAAAUAAGUACCUGCAGGCCUGCAGGAUUACUAGCGGUGCAUUGGCCAACAUCCGCGGAAGCCUCACGGCGGCUUCGCAACGGUAGCAACCUGCGAGGCAGUUGAUGCCGUGGGGGCGACGCCUACCGAUCUUGCGCCCCGGCGGACCGGUGAUGCCAAGCCCGAGUCCAACUCCAAGCUGGUAAGAAGUCCCUGUCAUCCCAGAGUUUCCUUUUGUAGGAGAACCGGUCAGGAAUCGAGUAGAUCGAUUUGGACGUCUGUGUGGGCGUGAGGUGUUCGAGGAAAUGCCACAACACCGAGAAAGUAGAUUGUAGUCAAAAAGGGGAUUCUUUUUUUAAUGGAAGAAAGGGGGAUUUAUGAUUCAAACAACUGGCCCUACAAGUAUCCCCUCAUCCUAACACCCAUUUAGUUUGGCACUGGAUGUCCUCAGUCAGACACACGUCCGUGUUGUUCGCUGAAUUUUUGUAAUCAUCAACACAUAGUCACCUUCACUUCACAGAUGAGCUAGCCGGCCAUACGUAAUUUGUAGACACGAUCAUCUGUUGUUGACUUGUUGAUGCCCUAUAGUUUAUUUAUUUAUUUAUAUGUCUAUAGACCGUAGUUGGUCCCUAAUUUGUUCUAGAAGAUAAAAAUUGUCCAUUUAGGCUCUGUUUGGAACAAAGGAAUAAUGGAAAUUGGAGUAUUGAAUUUCUGUGGAAAACAUUACUCAAAGAAAAUAAUUCCUGUGGGAAAGUUCCUAUGAAAGCUCAUCACUUACCCUUUGCAAUCCCAUAGAAUGGGGCAUCCCACAAGAAUUUCGAAGGAAGACAAACAUGAGGUCUCUACUUGUCUUUUCUUUUCUUGGUCUCUGAAAUUCCUGAGUCUUUCCCACGUGAUAGCAAACAACACUUUUGAAGUUUUCUUGUGUAGAAUUCAGUGUACAUGACAACCGAUUUCUUUUGGUUUUCCUACUCCCACGUUUUUUAAUUCUCUUUUCCAAAAAGGCUUUAGUCUUGAUUAACAAUUGAAAUGAGAGUUCUCCAGCGGGUGCUAAUUCUUGCCUUGUUUCUUCACAACAAAUCCAAAAUUUUAACGCAGAGACUAAAAAUUUGAGCAAGUCAAGAGAUGUUACUUAUGCAAGGAGAUUUUAUUUUGCUCAAAUGUCGAUUUUGAAUUCUAAGGAUGCCACUAAGUAACAGGAGAACUCCAAGGUCUAAGAAAUAUCAAUUCCUUCACUCUCAGUUUUACAUGUGUAUAGACAGUUCAAAAACACCUGCACACCCCACAUAAAAGAGUGAGUAAGAAGAUAUUCGUCAAUCAUAGGCAUGCUGAUGCAUAUGUUUCCUGUUUCUGCUUUGUUCUAUCAUCGGGCUCCAAGAGCAUACCUUUUGCCGCUGGAAAAUUUCUGCUGGUUGCUGUUCUUCGCAUGCCGUCCAGACGUGUCAUGGUCCGCCGCUGGUAUUUCUUCACACCCUGGUCAAUGUUUCUGAUUGAACGCAUGGACAGCCGCCUUUAAACCGUACACUUGCUGGCUUGUGACUUUUCUGUUCAUUCUUUUCUCGGUUCUGGUUUCCGUCAUUGGCUUCGUUUCUUUUUCUGCAGCCUCCUGGAGCUGUCAAGGCAAAGCUGCAAGUGAUUUUAACUAUUGAUCAUGCCCUGUAUUCUAUGUCAACUCGUCAAGUAUGGAAAGUUAGAUAAGAGAUUUAUGUGUUCAUAAAUGCCAGUCUGUCAUUGAGGCAGACAUUAUCUGACUCUGUCUGUCGAUUCUUGUCUGGCAUUUCUGUCGUUGUGAGUUGUGACCUUUGCAAAAAAAAAGUUUUUGCGAAAAUUAGGUCCAAGUCCAACAUGAAAUAGGAAAGUGUGAGUUAAAAGUUAUGUUAUCGGUAUACUAAGUAGUUAGGAACUUAAUAUGACUAUUCGUAUCCGUUGCCAAAAAGAUGUGCAGGUAAAUUUUGAUGAAAGCUGAGUCACUAUGAAUCUAUGAUCAACAUUAGAGGUGUCAUUGCAAAUAAAACUUCAUGAGAAAUGAUGUCUUCAAAUGUGACAUAUUCAGCUAUUUUAAAAAGAUGUGUUAUUUACCUUUCUCGGUAGCAGGUCCUGAAGAUGAAUUGUUUUCUAGUUACACAGUGCACAAUAUGCAUUUUGUUUGAACAGCAAAUCCGUAUUUAUCUUUAACUAAGUGCAAAAGCAAUUAAAUUCAUAUUUUACAAAUAACUACAUCAUGUAGUGAUGCAAGUACAUAAUAGAAGUCAUUUUGUACAGUUUAAUAGAACAUUAACUUUAGUAACCAACCUUUUGUACAAAGGUGUUUUAUGUUGUAGUAGUUGAUGCAGUAUCAAACACAAGUCUUCCUGCCUAGCAGAAAGUCAAUACUCGCAUUUCUUUUCCUUUUCCCCUCAAUAGCACUUGCUCAAUGUUUCCCUUUGUUAUGCACGCGUGUUGUGUGAGUUCUGGGCAUUCCAAUGGCUGAGCUAGCGACAAGCAUGAUGAUCGGACCACUGGUGUGCAUGGUGAAAGACAAGGUGUCCAACUACCUCCCAGACCAGUACAAGGUGAUGUAGGGCAUGGAGAAGCAGCACAAGAUCCUGAAACGCAAACUACCAGCCAUCCUGGAUGUCAUCAGUGAUGCCCUGGAGCAGGCGACCCAUAGAGAAGGGGCAUAAUCCUGGCUCGAAAGAUCUCAAGACAGUGGCCUAUAAAGGCGAAUGAAGUAUUUGAUGAGUUCAAGUAUCAGGCCCUCCACUGCAAAGCCAGGAAGAAUGGACACUAUAGCAAGCUCGGCUUCAAUGUGCAACAAGCACCAGCAUUCAAGCAGUGGCGGCUGACGGAUUCCAUCAUUGUCAACCCAGAGAAUAUUGUUAGCCGGUCAAGAGAGGAGGAGAAGCAGAAGAUUGUUAAGAUACUAGUUGAUCAUGCUAAAGUUGUCACUCUGAUGGUUCUUCCCAUUGUUGGAAUGAGUGGGUUGGGCAAGACCACCCUAGCACAACUCAUCUACAAUGACCCUGAAGUUCAGAAGCAUUUCCAGACACGGAUGAUUUUGAUGUUUAUGACAAUGAGAAAGUACUACAGAAGCUUCAGAAAGAACUGAGUCAAAAGAGAUACCUUGUUGUAUUGGACGACGUCUGGAACCAAGAUCCUGAUAAGUGGGAGAGCUAAAGGCAUGCCUUCAACAUGGUAGUGUUGGUAGUGACAUAUUGUUGACAACUCGCAUCAAAGGAGUUGCACAACUCAUGAGUACAAUUGAAGCCCAUGGCAUCACAGUUUUGGAAAGGAUUCAUGAGGGAAAUUAUUGAAACAAGAGCAUUUAGUUUGCGACAUGGUAAUCCUGCUCCUGAGAUGCUUAAUAUGUUUGAUGCUCCUGAAGUAUUCAAUAUGGUUGAAAAGUUCGUGGAGAGAUGUGCUGGGUCUCCUUUGGCUGCAAGCAAUAGGAUCUGUACUGUGUACCAAGACAAGUCUGGAAGAAUGGAGCACUGUGCUAAACAAAGGGAUCAUUUGCACCGAGGAGUCUGGAAUUUUAGCAAUACUGAAACUCAGUUACAGACUUGCCACCACAUAUAAAGCAGUGUUUUGCUUUCUGUUCUGUGUUUCCCAAGGAUUAUGUUAUUUGUGUGGACAUGCUGAUCCAACUGUGGAUCGCAAAUGAUUUUAUCCCGGAACAAGAAGUUCGCCUUGAAACCACUGGUAAACAUAUUUGUCCAGAUACAUUCUGACAUCAUUGUGAUCAGGUCCUAGGCUAUUGAAAUCAAACACAUGGAAAUAUGCCAUCUGGAGAGAUUAGAGAGCUAUCGGUAGCAUCAUAGAACACAGAGGCAACUUAUGGAACAGGGCCUAGAUUACUAUGCGCAAAGAUGUGGAAAUAUGCCACGACCUGUGAACAAUUGUGAAUCUACACCACCGAAGCCCUUAAGAAGCCUCAGCGUCCAUGCAAACAAGAGCCUUGAUACCUUGCCUGAAACUAGCAUCAGGGCUCACUUUUCCAGGCCUGUGGGGCAAAGUGCCUUCAAGUGUGUUGCAAUCUCAUGAGAUUAACAUCUGUGGGGGUUGUCAGCACAUUUGGCCCAGAAGAUUGACGCAAAGUUUGAGUUUUACAAGAAGAAUUUCUAAUGCUCUAAUGGUGGCUAUUCAAGUAGCAUAACUGAUGAGAUGGACUGUGGCAGGAGGUCCUUAGCAACAUAUUUCAAAGGAAAAUCUUUGUCUUCCAUGAGGGGUAAACUCGUCGACUCCCUUAUGGGAUCAGGUUAGUGAAAGUUAAGGACCAGUUCCUACAAUUUCGGUCCUUUAUAGCUAAGAGCGGACUACAUUUCGUUUCUGGGAGGACAAGUGGCUUAAUGGUUCACGCUGAAAGUCAAGGACAGUUACCCAAUUUGCUCCUGGAAAUGUCCUCAUUUGCAGUUACGCACCCCCUCUUCGUUUGCGGCAUCCACCAACAAUUUCAGUAACUCUGAAGAUCAAUUCACCAGCAACCAACAAUUUCAGAACGCAUCCAUGUGCUUGGCACGCAUAUCGAACGGGACUUGAGGCUGUAUCAUCUUCCCAAGUGUGCAGUUGUGGAUGCAUGUUGAUGCUGGGGGGUCAGGGCUUGAUAAUAGGCUUUGGAUUCUUGCGUGGUGGUCGGCUCCAUGUUUACAAAUGGAAAGCAGAUGGUAGGUACGUAAGGCUGUUGCACUAGUGCUGAUGCUCAGGUAAAUUUGAGGGGAACCUUUGUUUAUUUUGAGGUGAUGUAACGCACUCUCCUGUUGGCUUGCUUUGGGGAUGUAUAUAUAGUUGGGGGAAGCAACUGUUAGACUGAAGUUUGAAACCAACCACCUGUGCAUACUUUUGUAACGUUUCUGGGCCUUUUGGAAUGUAAGAUAAAAAAACCAUAAUGCUGCAGCGAAAUUAAAUUACUAUUGUAACAUUUGAAGUUCGAAAGACACGUGGUGAUUAGGCCUGGACAAAAAGAUCGAAGUUCAACAAUCUUAUUGAACGCUCGCUAACUCGGUUUGUUAAGGGCUCGGUUCGUUAACUAAAGAACCAAACAGGACUUCCUUUUCAGAUCGUUAAGCUUAACGAUCUUAAAGAGCGAACUCGGCGAGCGCUCGUUAAGCUCGUUAGCGAGCUCGUUUCGUACAUCACUCGUGAGUGGGUACUGGAACUUAUUUUGAUGUUCUAAUUGUGCUGUUAUUUCUCUUUUGCCGUGUUAUUUCCAAUCUUUAUAGCGUUGUUCAGCUUUUGAUAUAUUUUGUUUACCGCCAAAAUUUAUCCCAAACAAAUAGGUAAUGCCAAAAAAUUUAGAUCAACAUGCCAUCUAUUUAUCUUAACGAGCACUCGCGAGCUCUUAACGAACCGAGCCGAAUAAUGGUCUCAGAUUGUUAACGAUAACGAUCUUAACGAUCCGAACUCAAUGAACCGAGCUCUUAACGAACCGAACUUGCUCGUUAGCCUGGUGAUAGAAAAAAAACUUUGAGAUUAGGAUGUCAUGAUGUCUUGGAUAAUCGAUCAAACACGGAAAUUUGUAUGUUUGGAGGUCCCUAGGAAUUUUCAUAGACAACCAGAGACAUGGCUUUUCGGUACCUUAUAUAUAUGUAUCUAAGCUUUUAUGGUCCACAUUAUAUCAUUUUUUCAAAAAGGAAAGACUAAGCCAACGGGUCUCUGCAACUCUGCAUCGUGCAAAUUCACUAACACCGUUCGUUGACCAUCAACUUGAUGAGGAAAAGCAUAAACUUCUCCUUCCUCCGGCUGUGUUCAUCCUCAUCCAAAAUGAAGCCUCUCCAUGGAAUCGGGCUGGAGCUAGUCUUGGCGAGUUGGUGUCGGGCGAUGAUGACGUCCCUUAGUUGUAUUGGCCCGCCGUGACUGUUGUAAUCUUUCUCAUCCCCUCUCUUGUGGUUCUUUUCCGUGUUUAUGUACUUUCUUGGGUUGAUUCUCUCAACCUAUUGGCAAUAAAUAGACUGUUUCGUCAAAAA
Brachypodium distachyon (stiff brome) is the source of this 7264-nucleotide long non-coding RNA. RefSeq lists it as uncharacterized. Lineage: Eukaryota; Viridiplantae; Streptophyta; Magnoliopsida; Poales; Poaceae. The record is from RefSeq and is a predicted model, not a curated record. The transcript has 7 exons.